This 497-nucleotide ribosomal RNA is filed under the name uncultured bacterium. Its description in RNAcentral is "partial 16S ribosomal RNA". It matches the Rfam family "Bacterial small subunit ribosomal RNA", at positions 28 to 507 of the family's 1533-position model. The record is from RNAcentral.
GAUGAACGCUGGCGGCGUGCCUAAUACAUGCAAGUCGAGCGAACAGACGCGGAGCUUGCUCCUUUGACGUUAGCGGCGGACGGGUGAGUAACACGUGGGUAACCUACCUAUAAGACUGGGAUAACUUCGGGAAACCGGAGUUAAUACCGGAUAAUAUUUCGAACCGCAUGGUUCGAUAGUGAAAGAUGGCUCUGCUAACACUUAUAGAUAGACCUGCGCCGUAUUAGUUAGUUGGUAAGGUAACGGCUUACCAAGGCGACGAUACGUAGCCGACCUGAGAGGGUGUACGGCCACUCUGGGGCUGAAACGCGGUCCAGGCUCCUACAGAAGGCAGCAGUAGGGAAUCGUCCGAGAUGGGCGGAAGCCUGACGGAGCGACGCCGCGUUGGUGAUGAAGGUCUUCGGAUCGUAAAACUCUGUUAUUAGGGAAGAACAAACGUGUAAGUAACUGUGCACGUCUUGACGGUACCUAGUCAGAAAGCCACGGCUAACUACGUG